Molecule: ribosomal RNA, 263 nt
Filed under: uncultured bacterium
Lineage: Bacteria
Description: partial 16S ribosomal RNA
Rfam family: Bacterial small subunit ribosomal RNA
Source: RNAcentral
GUCCACGCCCUAAACGAUGUCAACUAGGUGUUGGGUGGGUAAACCAUUUAGUACCGUAGCUAACGCGUGAAGUUGACCGCCUGGGGAGUACGGCCGCAAGGUUAAACUCAAAGGAAUUGACGGGGACCCGCACAAGCGGUGGAUGAUGUGGAUUAAUUCGAUGCAACGCGAAAACCUUACCUACCCUUGACAUGUCAGGAAUCCCGCUGAGAGGUGGGAGUGCCCGAAAGGGAGCCUGAACACAGGUGCUGCAUGGCUGUCGU